RNAcentral lists this long non-coding RNA (2168 nucleotides) under Zonotrichia albicollis (white-throated sparrow). RNAcentral describes it as "lncRNA (ENSZALG00000000267.1)". Lineage: Eukaryota; Metazoa; Chordata; Aves; Passeriformes; Passerellidae. The record is from RNAcentral.
CAUGACUGUCAUCCUGCCUAGGAAUGGGAAGGCAGUUUCAGGCAAUGAAAGCAGUGUGAGAAAAGAGAUGGGACAAGACUGCAUUGCCCCUUCGGAAGAUUGCAAGGAUGAUUGAAAGUGCUGUUGAACUGGGAAGAGCCAGAAACUGAACUGCUCAUUGUAUGCAGCUGGAAGCCAUGGUGAACAUUCUGCAAAGGCCUUCUACUGGGAGAUGACUCCGGUCACUGUUCCUUCCAUAGCAGCUGGUCCCUGUAAGACACUGAACCCUCAACACCCCUUACAAAUGUGGCUGAGGACCUGAAAGAAAUGCUGGUGCACCUGAUAUACUGUUCCAGGAGUCUUGUGAGAUUAACAGCUUGUAAAUGAUGGCAUACCUGGAAUAAGUUCCCUGUUGGCACUCCUGGGCAAUAUAUAAGAAGAAAAUGUGCAUCUUAGUACAGGCACACUUAAACCACAUGAAGGAGACCUGUAUUUUUGGAAUGACAGGUCCUCCUCCAUGUCUGGAGCAUGACCUAGUUGGUGACUAUCUAUUGUUUAUAGGCAAUGAUUCCUCAGAAACAAAUCAACUAAAUGAACAAACUGGAUGAUAAAGUAGAACGGAGAACUGCAUUGUGCUCCUCAGAGUCAUAAAAAUUCAUCCCUUUUACAACUGCUGAGUGCUUUGCCAAUAUCAUGCCAAGGUGAGAGCAGCUGGGGGAAGGGAAGGAUAUUGAAAAGGAAAAUAAAUAGGCCAGGUAAACAGUGCUGCUGCUGCUGCAGCAGCCGUGGUUGCCACGGCAACCGGGGUGAAGAGGAGGCGGAGGAGGAGGAGGAGGAGGAGGGGGGAGGUGGAUUGAUCGAUAGUCCUGUGCUGGCUCAUCUGGCUUCCAUCCACGUGCUGCUACAGAGGGAGAGAAAAUCAAAGAGCCACACGCAGGAUGGCCAGGUCUCCAAUUCAAUACAUGGCAGCAGCUUGAUCAAUAACUUGUUGGAAGAAGUCCUCCAGAGACCCAAAUCCAUCUUCCACAAAGUGAAGCAAUGCUGGGGAAGAGGAGGGGAAGGAUUGCAGACUGAUUUCCAGGGGACUGCACUGCUCAGCAGAGGGACUGUAUCCAGGCAACCUGCUUCCCUGCCUGAGAUAAGGACACACAGCUGGGACUUUGGAAAACUAAGAAGAAGCUACUUGUAAAGAGUGGGCUACAUGGGGGCAGCAGGGGAAAUGGUGCAGGGGGGAGCCAUGUUAUUUUGAGCAGGUUAUUUCUGCCCUGGCAUCCUCAUGACACUGGACCCGGCUGCAGUAGCCAGCUGAGCCACCCAGCUGCUCCUUUCCAGGUCCCCACCGAGAGAUGGGGAAAGGGAGCGGAUUUUUCAUUCUCAACCUGAGGGCUUGCCUGGGAAGGGGCGUGUCCUGCCUUUUGCAGGAGCCAUUCCCCAGCUUUUGAGCAAAGAGUAUUGUACACUAUAAUCCUGCCUCCUUGGACACAGUGAGAAAAAACCCUAUAUUGCUUGGAAAGCUCAAAUCCUGCACCAUGAUGGAUGGACAGACAAAACAAUACAGAAACAAACCAGACAAAACAACGCAGGCAGAAGAUACUGUGAGACAUCAGAGUGGCCCAUGCUGAGACAAGCACCUCAGGAUGAAAACCUCCUUUAUUGCAUUGCUUUCUACCUCACCUGGUGCAGGUGUCUUAGAUUCUGCACACCUGAUUUGACCAAGAUCCUAGGAUUUGGGCCCAACUUCAGACCUCAUCUGUUGCUUUACCAGCCAGGAGCAAGGGUGGGCUGCCAACAGCCCUGCAAAGCACAGGGAAAGCCUCUCCACAAUGACUGUCUCAUUCUCCUCCUAAAGGCAAAGGUCUGACUUUCUCCAGGACCCAGCACCUUCUUCUUGUCAGCUGUUCAUCGUUCACUGGCAAGUCCCAUCUAAUGGCAAGGUAAAAGGUGUGUCCUUCAGGUGGAGCUGCCUACAUGUCCUCUCCUCACGCCUCUGGAGGUCUGGCUUUUAGGGAUAUUUAGGGACUCCGCUGGGGCUGAGGAGGCCCAUCACCCUUUGGCUAGAGAUCCUCCAAGCUUCCAAAGGGAGGGAAGUAAAAUUGCUCUUCGUUCCUCUUUCAUGCUCAAACAGUGCUAUUGUCCUUCGCCUCAAUUAGUCCCCUUUGUUUACAACAACUCUAUUUUAUCUCUCUAUC